Molecule: ribosomal RNA, 253 nt
Filed under: uncultured bacterium
Lineage: Bacteria
Description: partial 16S ribosomal RNA
Rfam family: Bacterial small subunit ribosomal RNA
Source: RNAcentral
UACGUAGGGUGGGAGCGUUAAUCGGAAUUACUGGGCGUAAAGUGUGCGCAGGCGGCCGCGCAAGUCGAGUGUGAAAGCCCCGAGCUUAACUUGGGAAUUGCGCUCGAAACUACGUGGCUGGAGUGUGGCAGAGGAAGGUGGAAUUCCAGGUGUAGCGGUGAAAUGCGUAGAGAUCUGGAGGAACACCGAUGGCGAAGGCAGCCUUCUGGGCCAACACUGACGCUCAUGCACGAAAGCGUGGGGAGCAAACAGG